GACGAACGCUGGCGGCGCGCUUAACACAUGCAAGUCGAGCGAUGAAACUUUAACAGAACCCUCGGGGCGGAGGUAAAGGGGGAUUACGGCGGGAGGGGGAGGAAAACAGUGGGAACCUGCCCUUGAAAAUGGGGUUGCCCCAGGGAAACCGGGAUAAUUCCAAAUAAAAUCAUAAUGGAAAAUGUUAUAAAGGUGAAAAAUGCGGGGGUUCAAGAUGGACUCGCGUCCCAUUAGCUAGUUGGGAAGGUAAAAGCCUACCGAGGCGACGAAGGGUAGACGGCCUGAGAGGGUGACCGGCCACAGUGGGACUGAGGGAGGGACCAGACUCCUACGGGAGGCAGCGGUGGGGAGUAUUGCACAAUGGGCGCAAGCCUGAUGCAGCGACGCCGCGUGGGGGAUGACGGCCUUCGGGUUGUAAACCUCUGUUAGCAGGGAAGAAGAGAAAUUGACGGUACCUGCAGAGAAAGCGCCGGCUAACUACGUG
RNAcentral lists this ribosomal RNA (484 nucleotides) under uncultured bacterium. Its description in RNAcentral is "partial 16S ribosomal RNA". It matches the Rfam family "Bacterial small subunit ribosomal RNA", at positions 28 to 507 of the family's 1533-position model. The record is from RNAcentral.